This 251-nucleotide unclassified non-coding RNA is filed under the name Hevea brasiliensis (rubber tree). The record is from RNAcentral. Lineage: Eukaryota; Viridiplantae; Streptophyta; Magnoliopsida; Malpighiales; Euphorbiaceae.
UAUAUAUAUAUAUACACACACACAACAUGUUUUGUCUCUGAAUCAAUUUGGGUUACUAUCAGCCAUUUGAACCCUUAUUAUUAUAUUGUAAUUCUUGAUGUCACUAUCUAUAUGUUUGUUCUUGCUAUUCCUUUUUACACAACAUCAGCUAUUUCUUUCACUUUCACAAAAUUAGAAUUGACUUUGGCUUUUGGCUGAAUAAGCUUUCUAUUUGUGAAUUGUGUUAGUUUGCACUUUCUGCAUACUGUCUG